AGGUCUUCGGAUGCUGACGAGUGGCGAACGGGUGAGUAAUACAUCGGAACGUGCCCGAGAGUGGGGGAUAACGAAGCGAAAGCUUUGCUAAUACCGCAUACGAUCUCAGGAUGAAAGCAGGGGACCGCAAGGCCUUGCGCUCACGGAGCGGCCGUUGGCAGAUUAGGUAGUUGGUGGGAUAAAAGCUUACCAAGCCGACGAUCUGUAGCUGGUCUGAGAGGACGACCAGCCACACUGGGACUGAGACACGGCCCAGACUCCUACGGGAGGCAGCAGUGGGGAAUUUUGGACAAUGGGCGCAAGCCUGAUCCAGCCAUGCCGCGUGCAGGAUGAAGGCCUUCGGGUUGUAAACUGCUUUUGUACGGAACGAAAAGACUCUGGUUAAUACCUGGGGUCCAUGACGGUACCGUAAGAAUAAGCACCGGCUAACUACGUGCCAGCAGCCGCGGUAAUACGUAGGGUGCGAGCGUUAAUCGGAAUUACUGGGCGUAAAGCGUGCGCAGGCGGUUAUGUAAGACAGAUGUGAAAUCCCCGGGCUCAACCUGGGAACUGCAUUUGUGACUGCAUAGCUAGAGUACGGCAGAGGGGGAUGGAAUUCCGCGUGUAGCAGUGAAAUGCGUAGAUAUGCGGAGGAACACCGAUGGCGAAGGCAAUCCCCUGGGCUGUACUGACGCUCAUGC
This 680-nucleotide ribosomal RNA is filed under the name uncultured beta proteobacterium. RNAcentral's name for it is "bacterial SSU rRNA". It matches the Rfam family "Bacterial small subunit ribosomal RNA", at positions 74 to 752 of the family's 1533-position model. The record is from RNAcentral. Lineage: Bacteria; Pseudomonadati; Pseudomonadota; Betaproteobacteria.